This 500-nucleotide ribosomal RNA is filed under the name uncultured microorganism. RNAcentral describes it as "bacterial SSU rRNA". It matches the Rfam family "Archaeal small subunit ribosomal RNA", at positions 234 to 734 of the family's 1478-position model. The record is from RNAcentral.
AGUGGGUGUAGCGUACCUACUAGCCUACGACGGGUACGGGUUGUGAGAGCAAGAGCCCGGAGAUGGAUUCUGAGACACGAAUCCAGGCCCUACGGGGUGCAGCAGGCGCGAAAACUUUACAAUGCGGGUCACCGCGAUAAGGGAACCUCGAGUGCCAGCAUACAAUGUUGGCUGUCCAGGUGCCUAAAAAGCAUCUGUUAGCAAGGGCCGGGCAAGACCGGUGCCAGCCGCCGCGGUAACACCGGCGGCUCGAGUGGUAACCGCUAUUAUUGGGUCUAAAGGGUCUGUAGCCGGCCGGAUAAGUCCCUUGGGAAAUCUGGCAGCUUAACUGUCAGGCUUUCAGGGGAUACUGUUCGGCUUGGGACCGGGAGAGGUGAGAGGUACCUCAGGGGUAGGGGUGAAAUCUUGUAAUCCUUGAGGGACCACCAGUGGCGAAGGCGUCUCACCAGAACGGAUCCGACGGCAAGGGACGAAAGCUAGGGGCACGAACCGGAUUAGAU